UGCGAAUUUCCAGAGAGGGAGAGCCAUGUUCUAAGGCGCUUUCAUUAACCUCGCCCCUUCUGCUGUUGGUUCCUGGGAGGAAACGAUUAUUGCUCCCACAUGUGACUUUGAGAAGAAAAGUGGGGGAGCUCACACCACACAAUGCUUUUGUGUCUUCCAUGCUAGCAGUGGAUUACCAAGAAUGUUUUUCAGCCUGCAUUAGGCUAUACCUGGAAACGUCACUGACUUUGAAGACCUGGCUAAGUGGCGUGCUGUGUUGGGAAUCCCAUUGGAGCCUUCGCUCAGACUGACAGCAGGUGUGUGAGCCCCUCUCCUGCUCAUUGUUAUCCAGACGUUUUAUCCUUCACCGACUGCCCGCAGCUCUGGAGUGGGCCAGCCCCUGAGGAAGUGGCAGAAGAUGGAGGUGGUUCUUUCAGAA
This is a long non-coding RNA of Dermochelys coriacea (leatherback sea turtle), 418 nucleotides long. RefSeq lists it as uncharacterized. The record is from RefSeq and is a predicted model, not a curated record. NCBI's taxonomy places the organism in Eukaryota, Metazoa, Chordata, Testudines, Dermochelyidae. The transcript has 3 exons.